UGAAUAAUUACUUUGGGGGUCUUAAC
This 26-nucleotide non-coding RNA is filed under the name Macaca fascicularis (crab-eating macaque). Lineage: Eukaryota; Metazoa; Chordata; Mammalia; Primates; Cercopithecidae. The record is from RNAcentral. RNAcentral also lists the same sequence under 1 other name.